This 197-nucleotide ribosomal RNA is filed under the name uncultured Neisseriales bacterium. Its description in RNAcentral is "partial 16S ribosomal RNA". It matches the Rfam family "Bacterial small subunit ribosomal RNA", at positions 139 to 334 of the family's 1533-position model. Lineage: Bacteria; Pseudomonadati; Pseudomonadota; Betaproteobacteria; Neisseriales. The record is from RNAcentral.
GGGAGUAACCAAACGAAAGUUUAGGCUAAUACCGCGUAAGCUCCAAGGAGGAAAGUAGGGGACCUAAAUAAGGCCUUACGCUAUUUGAUCGGCCGAUGUCGGAUUAGCUAGUUGGUGGGGUAAUGGCUCACCAAGGCAAUGAUCCGUAGCGGGUCUGAGAGGACGAUCCGCCACACUGGGACUGAGACACGGCCCAG